This is a long non-coding RNA of Oreochromis niloticus (Nile tilapia), 3267 nucleotides long. RefSeq annotates it as zinc finger protein 431. The record is from RefSeq and is a predicted model, not a curated record. NCBI's taxonomy places the organism in Eukaryota, Metazoa, Chordata, Actinopteri, Cichliformes, Cichlidae. The transcript is spliced from 4 exons.
UAUCAACAGAUCAUAUGCUCUUGUUACAUAGUCUCACGAUAACGAUUAUACACAAAUCUGUGGUGUAAUAUAACUGUAGCAGCUAUGUGGUGUAGCUUAUACCAACAUGUACUGUGUGCUCUGGACUUUGUAGGUGAAGGCAGCAUAGGUCACUACAAAAAGCUUUCAUGGUCAACAUUUGUGUGACUGUAAAGCAAAAAAGUUUUUAAGGAAUUCAUAGAUAAAACUUUAUGAAUCUCUCGGGUGGGUUCAACCUAGCAUGCAUAUUAAUUUGCCUUACAAUAAACACACUGACAUUAUUUGGAACUUGAAUUGAAUGGAUUAAGCCUAGUGCUAGACUCAUAGUUGGACUGCCCAUCGGGCAUACCGGCCAUUUGCCCGGUGGGCCGAUGGUGAUUUUUCGUUUUUAUGGGCCGAUGGAUUUUUGUUGUUGUUUUUUUCUAUAACGGUACAAAUAAUGAAAGGUGGUGGAUUGGCCAGAUGCUGGCCGGUGUGUAAAAAUAAGUCAGUUGUUUGGUGGUGGCUAUGCAACAUUCAGCAUCUGAUCCUUGUUCGUCUGUGUGCUUCUGCGUUUGGUAAGUAUAGUUACCUAACUACACCAACUAUAACGCAGUCCCUCUAAACACAUGCUGCCAUCCAUUUCUAACUACCUGGUUACUUCCUGUCAGUAUUUUACAAACCAUGUGGUCACCUGACCCAACUCUGCUUCUUCUUGUUCCCUUUAAUGUUGAAGUGUCAAAUGUCAAACACCUGGAAAGGAAACUACACCAGUGCACUGGGAUGUUUCCCCAACUCGUGCCAGACGCUGUUCCUGCCUGUGAAGGUAACAUCAGCAGAGACAGCCCGCCUACCUCAGGACUUCGCCAAGUCACGUAUUGAUCACGAUGGUUAUGAAGAUGACAGCGAGCGGAAGACUGUAAAAAUCCACCACCAGAAUGUUUAGAUGCUUUCUAAUUAUUAAUGAAUAUCGUGUUUGUGUGUUUUGGGUUUUGUUUUUUUGGCCUCAUUUGUUACUAACAAAGGUCACCAAGCUCAGUUUACAUUCUGUAUGUGUUUUCAUCUUUAGCAGCCACACUCUGACUGCAAUUAAGAAAAACACAAACUUUUAAAUAUUGAAGGGGUUCAGGUAGAGCCGGCUUAUGAAUUACUAUGAACACUUACCAUACUGUACCUGUACAACAUGUUUUUGUAUGAGACAGAUUUGUAACAGAGGCCUUAGUCUCAGUAAGUUUGAAGUCCUUUCCUGAUUUAUUUUGCAAUCUCUGCUCUUUCAUUGAUGAUAAUUCAGUGCUGCUUCCCUUUUUCCCAACGACCGAGACUGUCGGAGUCGGGGCUCGAACCGGCAACCUUCCAAUUAGAAGACAAACUGCCACGAUCGCCCAUAAAGUGCAAGUGUUCCUGAGUGUUAACAGCACAGUUAACGUUCAAUCAGGGUGGAGGGUGCGAGGGGUCCUUGAUGAUGAUGAUACUGGCUUUCCGCUGAAGUCUGCCAGUAUAAAUGUCUUUGAGGGGGAUUAGUGAAGUGCCAAUUGCCCGCUCUGGCACCCUCACCACCCGCUGAAGUUUCCUCUUUGUCCUCCACAGUACAGCAGUUGAACCAAAGUGUGCAGCCGUAGGUCAGAAGAACAUAUGAGACACUUUGACUGUUCAGUGCAGUGUGGAGUCUAACAAAGGUCUGUUUUGUGUCCCAGCUGAUCAGCAGGAGGAGAAAAGUCUGAGGGAGCAGCAGAGGAACAUUUUCAGCCGUUUGCACUCAGCUCAGCUACUACAGAGAAAAUGAUGAGCUCAACACAGAAGGACCAACAUGGACCGAAAAGUCAGCGCUCUCAGGAGGCCGACAAACCUCACAGAAGAAAGAGAGAGAAAAACUACAGCUGUGACCAGUGUGGGAAGGAUUUUUCUCGCAAAGCUUCACUAUCAAGGCAUCAAGUCAUCCACACUGGAGAGAGACCGUUCAGCUGUGACUUGUGUGGAAAGUCUUUUCCCUGGGAUAGUUGCCUAAGAAAACACCAACUCUUCCACAGUGGAGUUAAAGCGUACAGCUGUGAUCAGUGUGACAGAGCUUUUGAUCGCAGUUGCAGCUUACAGAGGCAUCUGGUUACCCACUCUGGAACUAAGACAUAUAGCUGUGACAUUUGUGGAAAAACUUUCAGUCGGCGAGACAGCCGAAAUAAACACCUACGCAUUCACACCAGACAUGUUGUGUACUGGUGUGAUCGGCGUGGCCAACGGUUUAUAACAGAUGCACAGUUACAAAGCCACAUGUUUACCCACACUGAGGAGAAACCUUAUAAAUGUGACCUGUGUGAGAAGACUUUUGAACUGAAAAAGUAAUUGGAGUAAAAAAAGCAGAGCGACGCAGAUGGAUCCAGUUCUCAACCCUGUCAUCGCUGUGGUGGUGGGAAAGACUUUUGUUGUGACCUUUGUGGAAAAUCUUUCGGUCAUGCAAAGAGCCUAAAAAUACAUCAACGUAGACACACUGGAGAGAAACUGAAAUACUGCAAAGAAUGUGGGAGAAGCUUCACCAGAUCACAUGAGUUAAAACACCAUGAAGUCAUUCACAGUGGGGUUAAAAAGCACCUCUGUGAUCAGUGUGGGUCAUCGUUCACCACUGCAGGUGAGCUUAAAACACAAACGAGUCCACACAGGAGAGAAACCAUACAAGUGCAGUCACUGUGACAAAAGCUUCUCACAAUCAAGUAGUCGUAACCAUCAUGAACAUACCCACGUGGAAGGAAACUACAGCUGUGACCGGUGUGACAAGACUUUCAGGAAUCUCAGUUCAUACUCUGAACACAAACGAUCCCACGCUGCAGAUAAACUGUUUCACUGCUACAAAUGUGCAAAAACCUUCACUUCACUAUCUGCUCUGUGCAAACAUCAGCGUGAUCACGCGGGGCGGAAAUCAUUCCCAUCUCCGGAUCACGGUGAAUCUGGUGUCAGGAUCAGACUUAAAACUGUUGAGAUCAGGCUCCACAGAGUUCAGCUGGAAUCUCAUGUAAAGAACUGAUGAGGCUGCUGUAAAUAUAAAUGUUCCUGCAGUUACAUCUUAAGCUUUCUAAACUCUUCUACUUUAGUGUUCUUAUCGAGUGGUUAGCUUUGUUUUGUUGGAAGAAGAAAUCUGUUGUUAUGUAAUCAAGUUGUUAUUGAAUGUAUUUUGAUCCAUGUGUUCUGUAGGUGUUCUUUGUUCAGGCUGUCUGUGUUAUGAAACGUUGCAACGGUUAAAUAAAAAAUCCAAAUGUUCAAUAAAGAAAUGGUUUAAUGACA